GAUGAACGCUGGCGGCGUGCCUAAUACAUGCAAGUCGAGCGAACAGACGAGGAGCUUGCUCCUCUGACGUUAGCGGCGGACGGGUGAGUAACACGUGGAUAACCUACCUAUAAGACUGGUAUAACUUCGGGAAACCGGAGCUAAUACCGGAUAAUAUAUUGAACCGCAUGGUUCAAUAGUGAAAGACGGUUUUGCUGUCACUUAUAGAUGGAUCCGCGCCGCAUUAGCUAGUUGGUAAGGUAACGGCUUACCAAGGCUACGAUGCGUAGCCGACCUGAGAGGGUGAUCGGCCACACUGGAGCUGAGACACGGUCCAGACUCCUACGGGAGGCAGCAGUAGGGAAUCUUCCGCAAUGGGCGAAAGCCUGACGGAGCAACGCCGCGUGAGUGAUGAAGGUCUUCGGAUCGUAAAACUCUGUUAUUAGGGAAGAACAAAUGUGUAAGUAACUAUGCACGUCUUGACGGUACCUAAUCAGAAAGCCACGGCUAACUACGUG
Molecule: ribosomal RNA, 497 nt
Filed under: uncultured bacterium
Lineage: Bacteria
Description: partial 16S ribosomal RNA
Rfam family: Bacterial small subunit ribosomal RNA
Source: RNAcentral